AGGCUUAAUUGAGGUUUUGGGGCUUUGCCACUGUCUCUUACCCAUGUCUUUUGAGUACUUACGUUUCCUCGGUGGGCUCGCCCGCCGGUUGGACAAUUUAAACCAUUUGCAGUUGCAAUCAGCGUCUGAAAAACAUAAUAGUUACAACUUUCAACAACGGAUCUCUUGGUUCUGGCAUCGAUGAAGAACGCAGCGAAAUGCGAUAAGUAGUGUGAAUUGCAGAAUUCAGUGAAUCAUCGAAUCUUUGAACGCACAUUGCGCCCCUUGGUAUUCCAUGGGGCAUGCCUGUUCGAGCGUCAUUUGUACCUUCAAGCUCUGCUUGGUGUUGGGUGUUUGUCUCGCCUUGCGCGUAGACUCGCCUUAAAACAAUUGGCAGCCGGCGUAUUGAUUUCGGAGCGCAGUACAUCUCGCGCUUUGCACUCAUAACGACGACGUCCAAAAGUACUUUUUACACUCUUGACCUCGGAUCAGGUAGGGAUACCCGCUGAACUUAAGCAUAUCAAUAAGCGGAGGAA
Molecule: ribosomal RNA, 515 nt
Filed under: Podospora sp. TL1
Lineage: Eukaryota; Fungi; Ascomycota; Sordariomycetes; Sordariales; Podosporaceae
Description: eukaryotic LSU rRNA
Rfam family: 5.8S ribosomal RNA (bases 146-299)
Source: RNAcentral